RNAcentral lists this ribosomal RNA (459 nucleotides) under uncultured bacterium. RNAcentral's name for it is "partial 16S ribosomal RNA". It matches the Rfam family "Bacterial small subunit ribosomal RNA", at positions 338 to 795 of the family's 1533-position model. The record is from RNAcentral.
CCUACGGGAGGCUGCAGUGAGGAAUAUUGGUCAAUGGUCGGGAGACUGAACCAGCCAAGCCGCGUGAGGGAUGAAGGUACAGAGUAUCGUAAACCUCUUUUGUCAGGGAACAAAGGCGGGGACGUGUCCCCGGAUGAGUGUACCUGAAGAAAAAGCAUCGGCUAACUCCGUGCCAGCAGCCGCGGUAAUACGGAGGAUGCGAGCGUUAUCCGGAUUUGUUGGGGUUAAGGGGUUCGCAGGCGGUCUGUUAAGUCAGCGGUCAAAGCCCGGGGCUCAACCCCGGCCCGCCGUUGAAACUGGCAGUCUCGAGUUGGAGAGAAGUAUGCGGAAUGCGCGGUGUAGCGGUGAAAUGCAUAGAUAUCGCGCAGAACUCCGAUUGCGAAGGCAGCAUGCCGGCUCCACACUGACGCUGAGGCACGAAAGCGUGGGUAUCGAACAGGAUUAGAUACCCUGGUAGUC